This is a small nucleolar RNA of Oryctolagus cuniculus (rabbit), 230 nucleotides long. The record is from Ensembl. NCBI's taxonomy places the organism in Eukaryota, Metazoa, Chordata, Mammalia, Lagomorpha, Leporidae.
GAAUGUGCAAAGGGAUAAGCAAUACCUGCGGCAGCCUCAAAGAGGUGUGUGUGUGUGUGUGUGUGUGUGUGUGUAUGUUUGAGAGAGAGAGAGAGAGAGAGAGAGAGAGAGAGAGUAUCUUUGCCCGGGCAUGCACACACAUGUCUGGGAGUACAAAUGUGUGUGGCUGCUUAUAGAGAGCUGGUUCCAUGCUUUCUGUUGGGCCAUAACAGACGGAGUUGGAGUGCAUA